Molecule: ribosomal RNA, 465 nt
Filed under: uncultured bacterium
Lineage: Bacteria
Description: partial 16S ribosomal RNA
Rfam family: Bacterial small subunit ribosomal RNA
Source: RNAcentral
CCUACGGGUGGCAGCAGUAGGGAAUCUUCCACAAUGGGCGAAAGCCUGAUGGAGCAACGCCGCGUGGGUGAAGAAGGUCUUCGGAUCGUAAAACCCUGUUGUUAGAGAGGAAAGUGCGUGAGAGUAACUGUUUUCGUUUCGACGGUAUCUAACCAGAAAGCCACGGCUAACUACGUGCCAGCAGCCGCGGUAAUACGUAGGUGGCAUGCGUUAUCCGGAUUGAUUGGGCGUAAAGGGAACGCAGGCGGUCCUUUAAGCCUGAUGUGAAAGCGUUCGGCUUAACCGGAGUAGUGCAUUGGAAACUGGGGGACUUGAGUGCACGAGAGGAGGGUGGAACUCGAGGUGUAGCGGUGAAAUGCGUAGAUAUAAGGAAGAACACCAGUGGCGAAGGCGGCUCUCUGGUCUGUAACUGACGCUGAGGUUCGAAAGCGCGGGUAGCGAACAGGAUUAGAUACCCUUGUAGUC